AGGCAGCAGUGGGGAAUAUUGGACAAUGGGGGCAACCCUGAUCCAGCCAUGCCGCGUGUGUGAAGAAGGCCUUGGGGUUGUAAAGCACUUUCAGUGGGGAGAAAGGUGAUUCACCUAAUACGUGAGUCAAUUGAUGCUACCCACAGAAGAAGCACCGGCUAACUCC
This 166-nucleotide ribosomal RNA is filed under the name uncultured bacterium. Its description in RNAcentral is "partial 16S ribosomal RNA". It matches the Rfam family "Bacterial small subunit ribosomal RNA", at positions 346 to 504 of the family's 1533-position model. The record is from RNAcentral.